Molecule: long non-coding RNA, 1438 nt
Organism: Oncorhynchus tshawytscha (Chinook salmon)
Lineage: Eukaryota; Metazoa; Chordata; Actinopteri; Salmoniformes; Salmonidae
Source: Ensembl
GGUGGUGGUGUUGGUGAUGAUGGUUGUUUGGUGGUGGUGAUGGUAGUUGUGGGGUGGUGAUGAUGGUAGAUUUGGGGUGGUGAGGAUGGUGGUCAUGGUAGUUAUGGGGUGGUGAAGGUUGUUGUGUGGUGCUGAUGGUUGUUAUGGGGUGGUAAUGGUAGUUAUGGGGUGAUGAUGGUAGUUAUGUGUCGGUGAUGGUACUUAUGGGGUGGUGAUGGUUGUUAUAGGGUGGUGGUGAUGGUUAUGUUGUGGUGAUUGUAGUUAUGGUGUGGUGGUGGUGGUGGUGAUGGUAAUUAUGGGGUGGUGAUGGUAGUUAUGGGGUGACAAUGGCAUUUAAGGGGUGGUGAUGGUAGUUUUUGGGUGGUGAUGAUAGUUAUGGGGUGGUGAUGGUAAUGAUGGUAGUUAUGGGAUGGUGGUGAUGGUAGUUAUGUGGUGGUGAUGGUAUUAUGGGGUGCUGAUGGUAGUUUUGGGGUGGUGAUGGUAGUUAUGGGGUUUUGGUGGUAGUUAUGGGGUGGUGAUGGUACUUAUGGGGUUGUGAUGGUGGUAGUUAUGGGGUGGUGAUGGGAGUUAUGGGGUGGUGAAGAUAUUAUGGGGUGCUGAUGGUUGUUAUGGGGUGGUUAUGGUAGUUGUGAUGGUAGUUAUAUGGUGGCCAUGGUGGUGGUGGUUGUGGCAGUGGUGGCGGUGGUGGUGGUGGUGGUGGGGAUGGUAGUUAUGGGGGGAUGAUGGUGGUGAUGGUAGUUAUGGGGUGGUGGUAAUGGAAGUUAUGGUGUAUUGAUGGUAGUUAUGGAGUGGUGAUGUAGUUAUGGCGUGGUGAUGGUAGUUAUGGGGUGGUGAUGGUAGCUAUGGGGUGGUGGUGUUGGUGAUGAUGGUUGUUUAGGGGUGGUGAUGGUGGUGGUGAUGGUAGUUGUGGGGUGGUGAUGAUGGUGGUGAUGGUAGUUAUGGAGUGGUGUUGAUGGUAGAUUUGGGGUGGUGAGGAUGGUGGUCAUGGUAGUUAUGGGGUGGUGAUGGUUGUUUUGUGGUGCUGAUGGUUGUUAUGGGGUGGUAAUGGUAGUUAUGGGGUGAUGAUGGUAGUUAUGUGUCGGUGAUGGUACUAAUGGGGUGGUGAUGGUUGUUAUAGGGUGGUGGUGAUGGUUAUGUUGUGGUGAUUGUAGUUAUGGUGUGGUGGUGGUGGUGGUGAUGGUAAUUAUGGGGUGGUGAUGGUAGUUAUGGGGUGACAAUGGCAUUUAAGGGGUGGUGAUGGUAGUUUUUGGGUGGUGAUGAUAGUUAUGGGGUGCUGAUGGUAGUUAUGGGGUGGUGAUGGUAGUUAUGGGGUGGUGAUGGUAGUUAUGGGGUGGUGAUGGUAUUAUGGGGUGGUGAUGGUAGUUAUGGGGUGGUGAUGGAAGUUAUGGGGUGGUGAGGGUAUCAUGGGGUGCUGAUGGUAGUUAUGGGGUGGUGGUGG